Molecule: long non-coding RNA, 4924 nt
Filed under: Gossypium barbadense (sea-island cotton)
Lineage: Eukaryota; Viridiplantae; Streptophyta; Magnoliopsida; Malvales; Malvaceae
Description: long non-coding RNA (GBAR_LNC022335)
Source: RNAcentral
CUCAAAAACUCCAUCCGAUCAACCUAAACCAAAACCAAACCCAAACCCGAUUUGACCAUAAAAAGUCAACAACAUGAACCCAUCCAACCACACCCAAAAAUGACUCAAACCCAAUCUGAAAUUGACUUAACAAAAAUGACCCUGACAUUUUAAAUUUUGAAUUGAUCCAAUCCAGAAAGAUUCGAUCCAAAAUCAACCCGACUUGCCGAAUAGACCUGACCUUUUUAGUUUACUCAAUAAAGUGCACUAGUAAAAGAAGCAUUUCCUUCUGAUUAAAUUUGUCAGUCAAGAUAGGUAGAAUUAAAAGGAAAAGCAAAUCAAGUUCAAUAGCUUACAUCACCUUUCCAAAUCCGGAAGCACUUCUGGUUAAUAGGCGAGCCGGUUAUUGUCUGAAUAACAUCGAACAACAUAUUCUGAGGUGUGCUUCUAAGCUCUUGGACAAUCCCAUAAAUGGUCUUCCCAUUCUCAAAGUAUAUGUGAUUAUUUGGAUGCUUUGUUUUGCAACCAGCAUGCCGCUCAAAUUCAUAUGCAUUGAUCACCUAUGAGAACGUAGAAACUCUGCUCAUCAGCACACACAUAAGUGCGUACACAAUUCUCUCAAAAAAGAAAAAAAAGGUAAAACCGAGAAACCACACCUUAGAAAAAUUGCAUGUCUGACAGCCACAUUGAUAUCCCGAACUCUUUAUAACACCGUGGAGCUCCUUCUGAAGUUCAUAUAAAGAAGCAGGCGUAUCACCGGACAAUAAGGUAAAUAAAAAGAACACAAGUAAUGAGAUUUUACCUCCUGUGACCAUGCAAUAUAUUUAACGGGAACUCCAUCAAGCAUACCAGUUGACAGCAAACUUCUAACAUUUGAUGGGAAGUUAUUUGAAGUAAGUUUUUUGGAUGUUUUCUGCUCAUCUUUCUUCCUAGGAACUUCAGCUCCAGAGGCAAUAAUAUUAUUGGAUAUAGACACUUUUUCACUAGAAGCAUUGGAUCUUUGGACAGAAGACUGACCCAUCAAUAAAUUAUAGCCUGAUACAAUCCUUCCUGGCGGAUUUGUAUCAUCAUCAUCAUUAGAGCCACCAAAUGAUAUAAUAGUACUCUCACCCCUACUAUAGGACUGACCAAUUGACAAAUUAUAGUUGUCACCCUUCUUGUAGCUUUGACUGAUAGAUAUGGUACUGUCAUCUCCUUUACCAUAGGUCUGACACACAGUUACAGAACUAUCAUCUGUCAUGUAUGUUUGACCCAUGGAUAUGAAAGUGUUUUCACCCUUAUUGAAGGUAUUGCUCAUUGCAAGUGCAUUAUUAUCCUCACUUUUGUUAUAGGAUUGUCCCAUAGACAUGAAAACAUUAUUCUCCCUUUCAUAGGUGUCACCAAUAGGAUCCCCUUUGUUAUAAGAAGAACCCAUCGGCAUAAUACCAUCUUCCACCUUGUUGUAUGCAUGAUCAUUUGACACAGAGGUAUUAUCAACCCCAUUAAACACAUAUCCCAUUGAUGCAGACAUGAUAUUCUCCGAAUCCUUAACCUCGCUGACUUUUACCUUCCUAAUCCCACCAAGGUUUAACCCAGAUCUAGGAUCUUCUAGUGUAUGAGACAUAGAUAAACAGAAUGAAGAAUCAUUUGUAAAUAUAUCUUCAUUAAGCUUUCUCCCCAUGACAACUUUCUCACUGCUAACUGAUGGCAUGCUUCGAUCAUCAAAAUUCACAGCUCGAGCUGAUUCGGUGUCGAAUAACCGUUCAGCAAACUGCCCCGAGAUUGAAUGAAAACCAGAUGCAUUUCCCCAUGGAGACAGGUUUGAAUUCAAGAUUCCAGAAAAAAAGUUGGUAGUUGAAACUCCAACCGCCUGCUUCUUGUUAGGAAAUAUAUCUGUCUCGGAACCAUCCAUAAACCAUUGAUGAGAACGCUUGGGCUCAAUUCUAGAUGAAGUAUCAUACACCAUCUCACCAUCGUUUAAACACCCAGCUCCUUUCGUCAUCCAAAUGCCUUGAUUCUGGAAAGACUGUUACAUGUAACAAAUUCCUAAUCAGAGGCGUAGAAGAGAAUAACAACAACAGUUGAAUCUUUUUCAUUGACCUAGUAUCAAGAUUAACCGCAAGCCAUAAAUAUUUAUAACAUAAUUAAUGGACAACUUCAAUAAGGUGAACUUUGUUUUUGCACCUAUCAAAAGCUUGACUAGGCACACCAAGCAUGCACUUGAAGAAGGAUUGAAAUAACUUUUGUUCUCUAGUGCUAAUAUACAGCGCCUAAGGACGCACCUUGGUCUUUGACAACCUCAGCACUUCAGCACCAACACACACAACUUACCAAGUAGAAAAUUGUCAAACUGACAUUUUUCUUCACUCAUAUAUACAUACUUAUAUAUGGUUCAUCAGUGCAUCCCCACCUAAAUUACUCUAUUACAACUGUUUGGCAAUAAAAGACACAAUCAUCUAUAGUUCUUUUUUUUUUUUUACCAAAAAGCAUAAUUUUUCAGUUGAUACAGAAUUUUAACCUUCUUUAACUAUGUGAAACUACAUAAGGGACAAGGCAAUAAGCAAUUGCAGAACAAUUAACGAUAAAAAUUAAAACCACUGAAUCAAUCACAAAAGAUACACAUAAAACUGAAAAACAGCAUCGAAAGCAACCAUUAGACCCUUCUCCCACCACUUAAAGCACAUAAAAACAUACCAUUUUUCUAGCUUUAUUUCAAAGUUCUAUUUGGAUGAAUCCUCGCUUCCACUUUGCUGUAACAGUCCAACAAUUAAAACUCUAUCAUAUUGCAUUAAACAAGGAUCAAAUUUACAACUUUACCACUAAACAGCAAAGUUCUAUAACUCCUGGCUGAAGCAGAGACUGUAAAACUUCGUGAGAAUUGAAGCCUUUAAUCGCUAAAGUAAUUAUCUGCAAAAUUCAGGGAAUAAAUCACUUGAAAAACUCUGAGAACAAAUAAUAGUGACUCCAAGGCUGAGGUAUUGUAUCUUUCACUCGAAAUUAUGCAAAUCCAUUCCCUUAAACAUAUUUUAAAACAUAUAUAUUGUUGUAAUUGCUGUUAUCCUUUGUCUUCCUCUUUGCAGCCAAACACAAUCAAAAUUAACCAACAAGAUCAGGCAGCAGGGGAUGCAGCAAAUGCUCCAAAAUCAGGUUGCUGCGGUUGAGCUACGAUCGAUGAUGAGCUCUGAAGGGUAUAUUUUCUUCUCUAGUGAGCUCUUUGAAUUUGGGAAAACUGUAACUACAUUCUUCCAGUUUGUAAUUUCUUCUUAUCUAUUUUGCAUCUAUUACUCUUUCGGUCUGAAAUGUUAGAUCCCUGAUAUCCUGCGAAAUUAAUUAUUUUUGCAAGUUGCCUCUACCAUUUUGACAUUUGGAGUUGAAGCUAAGAACCGCUCGGUGCCAUCCAUUAAUUGGAGCAUAAUUAGAGAUGACAAUAGGACAGAUUUGGAACAAAGUCAUUUUGGAGUUUUUCGAGUUUGGUGUGUGGGCUAGGAUUUGGGGCCAGCUCGGUAUUUUCUUCGUAAUUUUCAAACUUUUAUAAAAGAUGUAAGCAUUCUAACAUGUUCUUGUUAGAGUUCAAUUGAGCUCAGGUUUAAAUCAUUUUUUUUUAUCAAAUUUCAGUUCAUGGGUUGAGACUUGAGAUGUGGCCAUGGUCAAUACCAAAAAAUUAAGUCUGAACUCAACUCCCGAUGAUUUUUUUAGUUCAUAUAUUAUAAAAUAUUAUAUUUAUAUCAAUUCAGUAUAAUAGUUUAUAAUGAAGUUCAAAUAAAAAUAUAUUAUUGAAUGUUAAUUUAAGUCAAAAAAAGAAAAAUUAUCUUUGUCCAAGCUGGCCAAGUAAUUCGCUCAAACCAGUACACGAAAUUAAUCAAGCCCUAAAAGAACAGUACUUAAAAGAAGCAAACAACACAUAAAGACGGGUAGUUUCCUCCGUUCCUCCUUUAGUUCACCAAAGGUGCAAUACCAAAAACAAACAAAAAAAAAAGUCUGAACCGAUGAUUUUUUUUGUUCAUAUAUUAUAAAAUAUUAAAUAUUAUAUCUUACCAAUUCAAUAUAAUACUUCAUAAUAAAGUUCAAAUAAAAAAUUUAUUAUUGAAUUUAAAUUCAAGUCACAAAAGGAAAAUUAUCUUUGUCCAAGCUGGCCAAGUAAUUCGCUCAAACCAGUACACAUAAUUAAUCAAACCCUAAUAAAAGUACUUCAAAGAAGCAAACAACGCAUAAAGACAGGUAGUUUCCUCCGUUCCUCCUUUAGUCCACCAAAGGUGCAAAAUUUAGAUUUCAUCUCUAUCUCUUGAAUUAAUAUCCGACUACAUGUUUGCAGAGAUACAAGCAAAUACACAAAUAACAAGUAUCUCUCUUUCAGGCAUUAACUCCCUACUUUUUAACAUAAUCCCUACCCCCGUAAAUUAAAAAAAAAAAAAACCCCCCACGCCCGGUGCUGUCACCAUUAACAAGCAUAAAGUCUCGUAAAAAGUCACUUCCUUCAUAUUCACAAAACAGAGAUUAACCCUACCUUGCAAAUGAAAAUGGUUGUUUUAUGACAAUUGUUUCAUUUCAUCCUUCCCAUAUAUACGCUGAAGUUCAAGAGUGGCAGCUAAAAACGAAUCUGAAAAAAGAAAGAGGUGCAAAGUAGACAUGUCAAUUGUAUCCCAUCUCAAAAACUCCAUCCGAUCAACCUAAACCAAAACCAAACCCAAACCCGAUUUGACCAUAAAAAGUCAACAACAUGAACCCAUCCAACCACACCCAAAAAUGACUCAAACCCAAUCUGAAAUUGACUUAACAAAAAUGACCCUGACAUUUUAAAUUUUGAAUUGAUCCAAUCCAGAAAGAUUCGAUCCAAAAUCAACCCGACUUGCCGAAUAGACCUGACCUUUUUAGUUUACUCAAUAAAGUGCACUAGUAAAAGAAGCAUUUCCUUCUGAUUAAAUUUGUCAGUCAAGAUAGGUAGAAUUAAAAGGAAAAGCAAAUCAAG